AACGAACGCUGGCGGCAUGCCUAACACAUGCAAGUCGAACGAGACCUUCGGGUCUAGUGGCGCACGGGUGCGUAACGCGUGGGAACCUGCCCUUAGGUUCGGAAUAACUCCCCGACAGGGGUGCUAAUACCGGAUAAUGUCUUCGGACCAAAGAUUUAUCGCCUUUGGAUGGGCCCGCGUUGGAUUAGCUAGUUGGUAGGGUAAAAGCCUACCAAGGCGACGAUCCAUAGCUGGUCUGAGAGAAUGAUCAGCCACACUGGGACUGAGACACGGCCCAGACUCCUACGGGAGGCAGCAGUGGGGAAUAUUGGAAAAAGGGCGAAAGCCUGAUCCAGCAAUGACGCGUGAGUGAUGAAGGCCUUAGGGUUGUAAAGCUCUUUUAACCGGGAUGAUAAUGACAGUACCGGGAGAAUAAGCUCCGGCUAACUCCGUG
RNAcentral lists this ribosomal RNA (433 nucleotides) under uncultured bacterium. Its description in RNAcentral is "partial 16S ribosomal RNA". It matches the Rfam family "Bacterial small subunit ribosomal RNA", at positions 29 to 507 of the family's 1533-position model. The record is from RNAcentral.